Molecule: ribosomal RNA, 541 nt
Filed under: uncultured bacterium
Lineage: Bacteria
Description: bacterial SSU rRNA
Rfam family: Bacterial small subunit ribosomal RNA
Source: RNAcentral
UAAGGAAUAUUGGUCAAUGGGCGAAAGCCUGAACCAGCCAUGCCGCGUGCAGGAAGACUGCCCUACGGGUUGUAAACUGCUUUUGUACCGGAAUAAACCUUGAUACGUGUAUCAAGCUGAAUGUACGGUAAGAAUAAGGAUCGGCUAACUCCGUGCCAGCAGCCGCGGUAAUACGGAGGAUCCAAGCGUUAUCCGGAUUUAUUGGGUUUAAAGGGUGCGUAGGUGGCUUUUUAAGUCAGGGGUGAAAGACGGUAGCUUAACUAUCGCAGUGCCUUUGAUACUGAAGAGCUUGAAUGAACUAGAGGUAGGCGGAAUGUGACAAGUAGCGGUGAAAUGCAUAGAUAUGUCACAGAACACCAAUUGCGAAGGCAGCUUACUAUGGUUUAAUUGACACUGAGGCACGAAAGCGUGGGGAUCAAACAGGAUUAGAUACCCUGGUAGUCCACGCCCUAAACGAUGAAUACUCGAUGUUGGCGAUAUACGGUCAGCGUCUAAGCGAAAGCGUUAAGUAUUCCACCUGGGGAGUACGCCCGCAAGGGUG